AAACUUCAGCAGCACAUAUACUAAAAUUGGAACGAUACAGAGAAGAUUAGCAAGAUGGCCCUUGUGCAAGGAUGACAUGCAAAUUUGUGAAGCAUUCCAUAUUAAA
Small nuclear RNA from Otolemur garnettii (small-eared galago), 106 nucleotides. The record is from Ensembl. NCBI's taxonomy places the organism in Eukaryota, Metazoa, Chordata, Mammalia, Primates, Galagidae.